Molecule: transfer RNA, 76 nt
Filed under: Candidatus Brocadiia bacterium
Lineage: Bacteria; Pseudomonadati; Planctomycetota; Candidatus Brocadiia
Description: Candidatus Brocadiae bacterium (aquatic metagenome) tRNA-Glu
Rfam family: tRNA
About the family: Transfer RNA (tRNA) molecules are approximately 80 nucleotides in length. Their secondary structure includes four short double-helical elements and three loops (D, anti-codon, and T loops).
Source: RNAcentral
GCCCCCUUCGUCUAGUGGCCUAGGACACCGGAUUCUCAGUCCGGUAGCAGGGGUUCGACUCCCCUAGGGGGUACCA